Salvia miltiorrhiza (redroot sage) is the source of this 3517-nucleotide long non-coding RNA. RefSeq lists it as uncharacterized. The record is from RefSeq and is a predicted model, not a curated record. NCBI's taxonomy places the organism in Eukaryota, Viridiplantae, Streptophyta, Magnoliopsida, Lamiales, Lamiaceae. The transcript has 4 exons.
UAAACCUCAAUCCAUCAUCUUCAAACUUGGCAUGAACUGACUUUUUCUCAUCUAUUUCCUUAGAGCAUCCACAAUGGUGGGUGCGAUGGCCGGAUCGAACCCGGCCUAUCGCACCCACCACCAUUGCCGCACCCGGGUGUGAAGGAGGGGAGGCGAAGCUACGCACUCGUGAAUAGUGGGUGCGAUGGAGGGGGCGUGUAAAACACGCGCCCCUUUUCGGCCGGAAAAAAAAAAAAAAUUAAAAACUAGCCGUUUUCGACCGUUUUUACUUUUCCGUUGCAGAUUUUUAGGAUUUUUUAUUUUAUGUUUGUUUUAAUUUAAGUAAUUUAGGAUUUUAAUUUCUUGUAUUUUUUUUAUUUCUAACAAUGUAGGAUUUGAAUUUUAAUUCAAUGAAAUUUUAAUUUCUUAAUUAUUGUAAAAUGGAAACUAGAAUAAAACUAAUUCAAAAAUAAAAUAAAAUCUAUUACACCCAUAGUGAGUGCAAUACCAUUGUGGGAGUGGGUGCAAUAGAAGUGGGACCCAUUCUAUUGCACCCACUAUGGGUGCAAGCAUUGUGGAUGCUCUUACACCAUAUAAUCCACUUCCAUUUCUCACUGCCGACUUCAACGGUAAUUUUACAAAUUUCUGUAAAACUUAUAUAAUUGUUUUCAUAUGCAUAAAUAUUUACCUUUCUUUCAGUUUGUCUUGAUCAGAAACAACCAAACUCCCACAAAAUUCUUGUAAAUUCAAACAUGCAUAUACAGGUAUUAAAUUGAGAAGAAAUCGAAAUAGAAUUCAUAUUCACUGUUUUUACAAAAGGAAAAGUAGAAAUAGAAGAAUGAACUGGAAAGGGGGUUGUGGCAUAGAACAGGGGGAGGGACGAUGGAAUAGCGCCGCCGUGCGCUGUUGCUGGCGGAAGGCGGCGGCUGGCGGAAGGAAGAAGGGGCAGUGGUGCGGUGGCCUCGGCCGCCGCCGUUGUGCUGUUCCGGUCGGACAAAGGGAGGAGGCGGAUGGGCGGUGCUAGAUCUGGAAAAGGAGGGACGGCGGCUGGGCUGUGCUGCUGUCGACGCAGGGGCGGCGAUGGCGGUGCUGCUGCUAGCCGGGCGAGCGACAGGGGAGAAGCGUGGUUGUGGCGGUGGCUGGCGGAGGUGUCACCGGAGAAGGGUGGACGCUGCUGUUGGGUGCGGUGGGGGAAGAGUGAGAGAGAGACUAGAGGUGAGGAAAGGAGAGAGGUCGAAGGGAAGGAGAGAGGAGGCGGAGCCGCCGGCCUCCGGGGACGGCGCUGCCGUCCGGUGGCGGCGGCAGGAGGGCACAGAGAGCGAGAGAGAGUGAGCGGCAAAGAGGGAGAAGGGAAAUGGGAGCUGCGUGAGUUGUGUGGGUGUGUUGGAGAAUGAGAGUUAAAGUAGGGGAAAUGGGGAAAUGAAAUGGGCUUUGGGCUUAGUUUGGUUUUAAGUUAAUGGGCUCAAUUUCUUAAAUGAUUGGGCUAUAAUUUGAUUAACUAUUGCACUAAUUUAUUUAUUUUUUUUCAAAAGGCAUGCAUUUGCAUAUUAUUUUACAAAGAAUGUCAUAUUUGGGCUUGCAUUAUUAAUUUAAAUUUAGUUUUAAUUAAAUAUUGAGCCCAAACCUUUUUAUAAUCUAUUAGACAAUGAUUUUUAAAUGGUUUUAUGAUAAUAAAUUCUUAAGAUUUAAACUACUAUUAUUAUUUUUAAAGUUCAAUUAGGCCCUUAUAUUUUAUUAUUUGAAUUUAUCUGAUUAGGUGCGGCGCGACUAGGACGUUACUUUUAAUUGAUUUACUCAAGUUAGCAUUCAAGUUGAAGUUCAAGUUCAAAAAUUCAGGUUUUAAAGGUCGGAGGCACGUGGAAGGUCGAAUGGCGAAUCAAAUAUUUUGAAUUCAGUCUUUCUUAAAAAUGUUAUAUUUAGUAAAGUAAUUUUUGUUAAUAAAAUAUUUAUUUCACUAUUUUCUUGUUAAAUAUUUAUUUAUAAUCAUGAUUUUCCGCGUGCGUUUUCAUGUAAAAUUAAAAUGGAUUUGGGUGUCACACUCGGUCUCCCUCUCUCUCUUCUUUCCUAGCGAUGCCGCCUGCUAGAGUCCCUGCAUCUCCCGCUCUGCUACAGACAGUUCUUCGCGGCAUAGCGGCGUGUCGGAAUCUGCAGAUCUUGAAGCUGAGUGGAGUUGCAGAUGGUUCAUUUAUUUCGGAUGUUGGUCUGACCAUCUUGGCUCAGGGAUGCAAGAAACUGAUGAAGCUAGAAUUGAGCGGAUGCGGAGGGAGCUUUGAAGACAUUAGAGCUAUUGGGCAGUGUUGUUUGAUGCUGGAAGAGCUGACACUAUUCAACCAUCAUAUAUAUGAAAUGAAAGUGAAACAAAAUUUUCGAAUUGGGGCAUGAUAUUGAUACUUUCAAUAUAUGUAAAUGACACUUUGAGCUUUACUAAAUGAUACUAUUCUUGUUUCUUAUUUUUGAGAUAAUUUAUGCACAAAGAUGUUUUUUUUUCAAUUUUAUAUGAUCAAUGGUAUGUGCUUUGCUUUUCUUCCAUUUUAACACUAGAAAAUGACACGGUUAAUGGACACUUUUAACGGUAGAAAAUGACACGGUUUAGCUUAGUUGGUGGAGAGAAAAACAAUGACACUAUCAUUUAUUUAAAAUGAAACUAUGUUACUUGUUAAGUGACACUAUUAAUACUAUUUAAAAUAAAACUAUGUUACUUGUUUCAAUGAUACUUUUUGGAUAUAUAAAUGACACUACUUGGAAAAAAUAAUGUUUGUGGCUACAUUGGACAGGCUUUUGAAAUGGCAAUAGCUGAUAGUGGCUACAUUGCACCAGAUAAUCUACAACCUAGCUCUGGUAACUCAAAGGCUGAUGUUUAUGCCUUUGGGGUGCUGCUGUUAGAAAUUUUGACAGGAAGAAAGUCCUUUGACAAUUACAGUCUUCUUCUAUACAGCCUCGGUUUCACUUCAACUUCCCCAUUUCUGCUACUAUCUCAUACAGUAUGUGUGUGUGCAGUACACGAGCACCGGGAGAGCAGUCUCUGGCAAGAUGGGCUGCAUCGAGGCUUCACGAUGGCGCGUCAUUAGCACAGAUGGUCCAUCCAGCCGUUAAGAAUACAAUUCCCUCCAAGUCUCUCUCUCGUUUUGCUGAUGUAGUAUCUAUGUGUAUUCAGCCCGAGCAGGAAUUCAGGCCCCAAAUAGGCGAAAUUGUGGAUUCACUAAGCCGUCAACUGAAUCCAACAACAGCAGAUGUUGCAGAGGCAGACUUCGAACGAUCUUUCAGAUCAACCAACUCUAAAUUUUUUGGGUCUUCACCCACACAAAGCUACUACUCUGUGUAAUAUUGCUUUCAAGGCUUUUUGAGAGCAAUGAUUUGUUCUGAAACAUUUAUAACAUCAUUUUUGGCACUUUAUAACAUUUUAAAUGAUACUUUAUAUAAUUGACACUAUAAGGUUGAAAUAGGCACUAUUCGGAUAUAAAAAUGAUACUUUUAAUAUAGAACAAAUGAAACCUUUAAUAUAGAACAAAUGAUACUAUUUUUCUUAAUAAAUGAAACC